CGUCGAUUUAGUCCUCAGCUUUUGUGGCCGACCCACAAACUUUGGUUUGUGGUUUGGCCAUGAAAGCUGAAGACCAAAACGACG
This is a non-coding RNA of Marchantia polymorpha subsp. ruderalis, 84 nucleotides long. NCBI's taxonomy places the organism in Eukaryota, Viridiplantae, Streptophyta, Marchantiopsida, Marchantiales, Marchantiaceae. The record is from the annotation of a GenBank genome assembly.